GUGAGUGUAGCUCAGUUGGUAGAGCACUGGACUGUGACUCCGGCCGUCGAGGGUUCAAAUCCCUUCACUCACCCCA
Molecule: transfer RNA, 76 nt
Filed under: Myxococcales bacterium
Lineage: Bacteria; Pseudomonadati; Myxococcota; Myxococcia; Myxococcales
Description: tRNA-His
Rfam family: tRNA
About the family: Transfer RNA (tRNA) molecules are approximately 80 nucleotides in length. Their secondary structure includes four short double-helical elements and three loops (D, anti-codon, and T loops).
Source: RNAcentral